RNAcentral lists this ribosomal RNA (240 nucleotides) under uncultured bacterium. RNAcentral describes it as "partial 16S ribosomal RNA". It matches the Rfam family "Bacterial small subunit ribosomal RNA", at positions 32 to 264 of the family's 1533-position model. The record is from RNAcentral.
AAUCAACGCUGGCGGCGUGCCUCAGACAUGCAAGUCGAACGAUUAAAGCUCUCUUCGGAGAGUGUAUAGAGUGGCGCACGGGUGAGUAACACGUAAGUAAUCUACCCUCGAGUGGGGAAGUAACGUCCGGAACGGACGCUAAUACCGCAUAAUGCAGCGGCACCGCAAGGUGACAGUUGUUAAAGAUUUAUCGCUUGAGGAGGAGCUUGCGGCAGAUUAGCUAGUUGGUAAGGUAAUGGC